This 241-nucleotide ribosomal RNA is filed under the name uncultured bacterium. Its description in RNAcentral is "partial 16S ribosomal RNA". It matches the Rfam family "Bacterial small subunit ribosomal RNA", at positions 523 to 760 of the family's 1533-position model. The record is from RNAcentral.
AUACGUAGGGUGCGAGCGUUAAUCGGAAUUACUGGGCGUAAAGCGUGCGCAGGCGGUUUUGUAAGACAGUGGUGAAAUCCCCGGGCUCAACCUGGGAACUGCCAUUGUGACUGCAAGGCUGGAGUGCGGCAGGAGGGGGAUGGAAUUCCGCGUGUAGCAGUGAGAUGCGUAGAUAUGCGGAGGAACACCGAUGGCGAAGGCAACUCCCCGUGGGCCUGCACUGACGCUCAUGCACGAAAGC